RNAcentral lists this ribosomal RNA (481 nucleotides) under uncultured bacterium. Its description in RNAcentral is "bacterial SSU rRNA". It matches the Rfam family "Bacterial small subunit ribosomal RNA", at positions 29 to 481 of the family's 1533-position model. The record is from RNAcentral.
AACUAACGCUGGCGGCGUGCCUAACACAUGCAAGUCGUACGAGAAAGCCGGCUUCGGCUGGUGAGUAAAGUGGCGCACGGGUGAGUAACGCGUGGAUAAUCUGCCCUUAAGUGUGGAAUAACGUACCGAAAGGUGCGCUAAUACCGCAUAAUGCCUGGCAACACAAGUUGUCCGGCCAAAGAAGGCCUCUGUUUACAAGCUUUCGCUUUCAGGAUGAGUCCGCGUACCAUUAGCUUGUUGGUGGGGUAAUGGCCUACCAAGGCUGCGAUGGUUAGCUGGUCUGAGAGGAUGAUCAGCCACACUGGAACUGAGACACGGUCCAGACUCCUACGGGAGGCAGCAGUGACGGAAUAUUGCGCAAUGGGGGCAACCCGUGACGCAGCAACGCCGCGUGAGUGACGGAAGGUUUUCGGACUGUAAAGCUCUGUCGAGCGGGAAGAAGUGUACCAUGGCUAAUAUCCAUGAUAUUUGACGGUACCGA